AACGAACGCUGGCGGCAGGCUUAACACAUGCAAGUCGAGCGCACCGCCAGGGGGGUGGCUGCCGGGUGAGUAACGCGUGGGAACGUACCCUUAUCUUCGGGAUAGCUCCGGGAGACUGGGAUUAAUACCGAAAAUGCGCUUUGGGGGACGGAAAUAUCUGAUAAGGUUCGGCUCGAGAUGGAUUCGCGGGUUGGUAGGGUAAAGGCCAACCAAGGCGACGAUACAUAGCUGGUCUGAGAGGAUGGGCAGACACAUUGGGACUGAGACACAGCCCAAACUCCUACGGGAUGCAGGAGAGGGGGAUAUAGGACCGUGGGCGCAAUCCUGAUCCAGCCCUGCCGGGUGAGUUAUGAAGGCCUUAGGGUUGUAAUGCGCUUGCAACGGUGAAGAUAAUGACGGUAUCCGGAGAAGAAGCCCCGGCUAACUUCGUG
Molecule: ribosomal RNA, 431 nt
Filed under: uncultured bacterium
Lineage: Bacteria
Description: partial 16S ribosomal RNA
Rfam family: Bacterial small subunit ribosomal RNA
Source: RNAcentral